ACUUGUGGGUGCUAACAUUAAGCAUGGCCCAGAGGCACACAGACAGGCAGGAAACAGGGGAAGCAGAACUCAGGAAAAGAUGACAUUUCAGGACUGAUGAAAAAUAUUCUGGAAUAUCUGAGGAUUUAACCCCAGUGCUUGUUACUCAUUUGAAUGAACACUCCAGGAGGUUCAAAAGGGUUUCUCUGCAUAGAGACUGAAACAGAGUAUCCUGACUUCUUGGUGUCGUCUGCCAGCAAUUUUUCCCACUCCUUAAUACAGAGUUCUCAAGGCAUGGUGCCUUGCCCAGUAGCAGAGGUGGCAUUUGGGAAGCUGUUAGAAAUGCAAAUGACCAGACAGUCCCAGACCACAGAAUAAUCAAUCUAUGUUUUAAUAAGCCUUACGGUGGUUCUGAUGUGUGCUAAAUUUGAGAAUUUGAGAAUUACUGCUCUAAUAAGAGGCAGCAUUUUCUCUUUUCCUUUUCAUUCUUGAUAUACUUCCCUAUUUCCUUAGGUAAUACAUUAAAAGACUAUGUGAUUGUUUCUCUGUAAAUCUUUUGAAAAUGGAGUUCUGUUUUCUGCAUUGACUUUUCUUAUUCUGGCUCUGAGAGACCUAUUAAAUUCUCCUCUCCUUUAUUGAAUGGCUUUCUUUUUUCUUUCUUUGGCUUUACCACAGAGUAAGUUUAUCACCUGGCAUGAAUUAAAUGAAAUGCAACCUAAUAGGUGGCUGAUGAAUAUUUUUACAAAACUCUGGAGUCUUGCUACUCCAAGUGUGGCCCUGAUUCAGCAGGACAAUAUCAGUGUUACUGGGGACUGGCUGGUUCUGUAAAGUCUCCAGUCCCAGCUCCACUGACUGAGGAUCUGCACUCUAAGGGUCCCCAGCUCUGCCGUAUUCCUCAUUGGCUUCCUAGGCCAGCCUGCCUCUGUAGCCAGAAAAAGAUGGAAGAAGAAGAAAGACAUGGGCCAUUGGCUGAGGGGGAUUGUUUAAUGGUCCAGCCUGGAAUGGCAUGCAUUCACAUUCUACUGGCUUGAACUUCAAGGGAGGCUGAGAAAUAUGGCCAAUCCCCAGAAAGAAGAGGAAACAAGUUUGGUGAACAUGUCUCUACCAAACUACCUGCCUGAAUUCAUGCAAGUAACUUAUCCUUGCUGAUUUCAGUUUCCUCAUCUAUAAAAUGGGAAUAAUUAUACCUGCAUCAUCAGAAGGCUGUUAGAAUUAAAUUUCCUAACCUUUAUUAUGACUGCAGUGCCAGGCUGAUAAAGUGAUUUUUCCCUAGCUGAUGGAAAAAGUGCAGCCCAUUCAAGACUUACUCUGGUCUUACUGAGGAUGAAGGCAUGAGAGAGACUCUGGAAUUAAGUAAAAGUAUUAUCAAGGAGUCCAGAGGAGCAAGGAAAUUAAUAUUCAUCAGUUAGGCAUAAACACUGAAUUUUAGGAAAGCAGAUUUCAAAGACUUUGAAGAAAAUAUAGCCUCUUGGUUACAGACUGCAAAUGUGAAUGUGGAUCAUUAUGGAGGAAAGGAUCUAAAAGAAAAUCAAAUUCUGACAGCACACCAUACAUGAUUACGUUAAGGAAGAAAAGGAAGGAGUUGAUGUCCAAAGACAUCUUUGCUGCUGUUUGGAGUGGUUUCUUGAAAAGGGGACGUGUAGAAAAUAGGGAAGCCAGAAUAUACUCAAUACAAUUAUCAAAGAGCAUCAUGUAUCAGGAAAGGCUGAAGUCAAAGGCAACAGAAACAACUUUCCCUUCUGCUUGGAGGAAACACAGAAAGGAAUCAGGCCCUGUGAUCAGAGCAGAUGAUGUGAAGUUAUCUGUACACGUGGUGACCUAAAACAACAACCACUUUAUUGGUGCUCACUGAUGAUGGCUCAAGAAUGUGGACAGGGCACAGCAGGGUGGCUUCUUUCUGCUCUGAGAUGUUUGGGGCCUCAGCUGGGAAGACGUGAAUGGCUGCUGGUGAUUCAAACAGCUUGGGGCUGAAAGCAUCUGGAAGUAUCCUCAGUCGCAUGUCUGGCACAUGGGCUCAGCUGGGGCAGCCCCCUGAGCACUGACAUGUGGCAUCUCUGAUCAGCUGAGCUUCUUACAGCCUGGGGCCCGGUCCAUGAAGAAGCAUCCAGAGAGAGAACAUUCCAAGAGGACCUGGGGAAGCUACACAGCCUUUUCCGAUCUGGUCACAAAGCAUCAUUUUACUCUGUUGGCUGAAACAGUUACAAGACAUCCCAGAUUCAAGGGAAGAGGACCUACCCACCAUCUCUCAAUGAACAAAGUGUCAAAAAAGUUAGGAGCAUUUAAAAAAAUAUAUACAUUUGACAGCUCUCCAAAUCUAUUGAGCCUUAUAAUAUGAAAAUUAUUUUAAGGUUUUUGUUAAGGUUUUGUUCAGACAGAAAAAGCAUGAAUGAGCACACAUAAGAGUUACAUAUUAAUGUUCAACCCAUAUGGAGGUUUUGUUUUAGUCUACCAGUUUUGGAGGCAUAUUUAAAGAUGAGUAGAAUAUUUGAAAGCAUUGUAUUUGAUGGGUUGAGUAUACUACAGUGGCAUGUGAUAUUAAAAGCCCUAAUGCGCCAUACAUACAAUUUCUUUAAUUCAUUCAUGCCUUCUCAUAAGUGGUUGGUUCUCAAUCAUGAAGCUCACCACACAUGUGGAAUUACUCUUGGAACCGGAAGCUCCAGAUAAGGGCGGUGUUACAGGUGGAGGAAAUGCACUUUCUGUCCCAGGAGCCAGCUGAGGGCUUCUGGCACCGAGGCCUCUCAGAAACACUCAGAAGCUCUCCAGACUAAUUCUGUGGGAAGGAAGAUGUCACAAGCAACAGAAAGCACCUUCACAUCAUGAGUAGUUCAUGAUAAGGCAAUCAAAAACAUAAAAUGCAGGAAGAAGGUUAAGGAUUCAGGGGAGGGUCUCCACAUGGUGCUUCAAUAGGAAGCGGCAACAUUGGUAAAGCAAAAACAAAGACAUUUAAAAAACCCUUAAAGCUAAAUUCUUAUCUAAAUCAUCUAAGCUGGAUUUCAUGUUUUUUUUUCCUUUGGUCAUCAUAUGAUAUUACUGUUUAGAACCCUUGUCCUCAGGGCCACUGUGAACACCAGCACCGUGUCCCAAAGCAGCAUCAGUGUGUGUGAUGGUUUUCAAAGAUGAGCUCCAAGAGGCUAUGCAUCUGCCUGUUGGUUCUGUGAACAGCCAUAUCAUCUCAUGUUAUGGAUAAAGUGAACAUUCCUGUGGUCAGGAUUCUCACCUGGCCCUGGUCGGCUGGCUCACCACACACGUGGGAGCAAUAUAUUGUUAUUGCCUCUAUGUAAAGAGCCCUACCUAGAGCUCUGGGCGACACCAUGGCAUGGCUGCAAGGCUGCAGGAGAGCAGAGACUAGAG
Non-coding RNA from Manis javanica (Malayan pangolin), 3330 nucleotides. NCBI's taxonomy places the organism in Eukaryota, Metazoa, Chordata, Mammalia, Pholidota, Manidae. The record is from RefSeq and is a predicted model, not a curated record.